Molecule: ribosomal RNA, 433 nt
Filed under: uncultured bacterium
Lineage: Bacteria
Description: partial 16S ribosomal RNA
Rfam family: Bacterial small subunit ribosomal RNA
Source: RNAcentral
AGCGAACGCUGGCGGCAGGCCUAACACAUGCAAGUCGAACGAACUCUUCGGAGUUAGUGGCGGACGGGUGAGUAACACGUGGGAACGUGCCUUUAGGUUCGGAAUAACUCAGGGAAACUUGUGCUAAUACCGAAUGUGCCCUUCGGGGGAAAGAUUUAUCGCCUUUAGAGCGGCCCGCGUCUGAUUAGCUAGUUGGUGAGGUAAAGGCUCACCAAGGCGACGAUCAGUAGCUGGUCUGAGAGGAUGAUCAGCCACAUUGGGACUGAGACACGGCCCAAACUCCUACGGGAGGCAGCAGUGGGGAAUCUUGCGCAAUGGGCGAAAGCCUGACGCAGCCAUGCCGCGUGAAUGAUGAAGGUCUCAGGAUUGUAAAAUUCUUUCACCGGGGACGAUAAUGACGGUACCCGGAGAAGAAGCCCCGGCUAACUUCGUG